ACGAACGCUGGCGGCGUGCCUAAUACAUGCAAGUCGAACGGUCUUUCUAUGGAAGCUUGCUUCCACUGAGAAGAUAGUGGCGAACGGGUGAGUAACACGUGGGUAACCUGCCCAUAAGAGGGGGAUAACAUCCGGAAACGGGUGCUAAUACCGCAUAGUUUUCUUGAUCGCAUGAUCGGGAAAGGAAAGACGGCCUUUGUGCUGUCGCUUAUGGAUGGACCCGCGGCGUAUUAGUUAGUUGGUGAGGUAAUGGCUCACCAAGACGAUGAUACGUAGCCGACCUGAGAGGGUGAUCGGCCACAUUGGGACUGAGACACGGCCCAAACUCCUACGGGAGGCAGCAGUAGGGAAUCUUCCGCAAUGGACGAAAGUCUGACGGAGCAACGCCGCGUGAGUGAAGAAAGGUUUUCGGAUCGUAAAACUCUGUUGUCAGAGAAGAACAAGUUGGAGAGUAACUGCUCCAGCCUUGACGGUAUCUGACCAGAAAGCCACGGCUAACUACGUGCCAGCCGCCGC
RNAcentral lists this ribosomal RNA (516 nucleotides) under uncultured bacterium. RNAcentral's name for it is "bacterial SSU rRNA". It matches the Rfam family "Bacterial small subunit ribosomal RNA", at positions 29 to 518 of the family's 1533-position model. The record is from RNAcentral.